RNAcentral lists this unclassified non-coding RNA (357 nucleotides) under Hevea brasiliensis (rubber tree). Lineage: Eukaryota; Viridiplantae; Streptophyta; Magnoliopsida; Malpighiales; Euphorbiaceae. The record is from RNAcentral.
AAACUUAUUUAAUUAUAUUAAUAAGUGCAAUAUUUAAUCAAUAUAUAUUUAAUUAACUUUUUAAUGAUCCACUGAUUAAGCCAUUGACUCAUGAUCAACCUGAUCCUCAACAAUAACUAUGGUUACAUGUGUCCUUAUUCUUGGUUCUCUUUGUUAUAGUACUAAUUUUCAAUAAGAUCUAAUAAUGUUAAGAUUUUAUAGACCAUUACAUUCCAUGUCAUCUUCAAGAUAUUUAUUUCAUCAGCUAGAAACAAUUGAUAGCUAUUGAAUGUUAUUAUUUGGUAAGCCAGUGUUAGUCGUUGCAAAUUUUAUUUUUUCCAAUUAAAAUGUGAUACUUUUUUUUUUUUAUUGUGUUAG